Molecule: long non-coding RNA, 435 nt
Organism: Gorilla gorilla gorilla (western lowland gorilla)
Lineage: Eukaryota; Metazoa; Chordata; Mammalia; Primates; Hominidae
Exons: 4
Source: RefSeq, a predicted model, not a curated record
UUCACAUGGUCUUUCCUCUGUGCGUGCGCAUCUCUGGUGUCCCUCUCCAUGUCCUAAUCUCUUCUCAAAAGGACACCAGUCAUACCUCACUUUACCUUCGUCACCUCACCUUAUCUCCAAGUACAGUCACAUUCUCAGGUCCUGGGAAUGAGGAUUUCAGCAUGUAAAUUUUGCGGAGACACAAGUCAGCUCCUAACAAUCUCAGGGUGGCCUUGGAGUAGAAGGGAAAUGUUCAGUUGUCUAGCUCACAGGGAUAUCCACAAGCCAGACCCAGAAAGCCUUUGCUACCAUUGGUGAAGAUGCCAAGUCCACAGCCCAACAGCCAGAAGACUCUUGGUCUAGCCCUUGGAUUCAGACUGAAUUGAUAUCGCCAGGUUUCCUGUAUUUUCAGCUUGCAGGCAGCUGAUUGUGGGACUUCUCAGCCUCCUUAAUCAU